UACGUAGGCAGCGAGCGUUGUUCGGAGUUACUGGGCGUAAAGGGUGUGUAGGCGGUUGUUUAAGUUUGGUGUGAAAUCUCCCGGCUCAACUGGGAGGGUGCGCCGAAUACUGAAUGACUAGAGUGUGGGAGAGGAAAGUGGAAUUCCUGGUGUAGCGGUGAAAUGCGUAGAUAUCAGGAGGAACACCGGUGGUGUAGACGGCUUUCUGGACCAUAACUGACGCUGAGACACGAAAGCUAGGGGAGCAAACGGG
Molecule: ribosomal RNA, 253 nt
Filed under: uncultured bacterium
Lineage: Bacteria
Description: partial 16S ribosomal RNA
Rfam family: Bacterial small subunit ribosomal RNA
Source: RNAcentral